This 463-nucleotide ribosomal RNA is filed under the name uncultured bacterium. RNAcentral describes it as "bacterial SSU rRNA". It matches the Rfam family "Bacterial small subunit ribosomal RNA", at positions 338 to 793 of the family's 1533-position model. The record is from RNAcentral.
CCUACGGGAGGCAGCAGUGGGGAAUAUUGGACAAUGGGGGCAACCCUGAUCCAGCAAUACCGCGUGUGUGAAGAAGGCCUGAGGGUUGUAAAGCACUUUCAAUUGUGAAGAAAAGCUAACGGUUAAUAACCGUUAGCCUUGACGUUAACUUUAGAAGAAGCACCGGCUAACUCCGUGCCAGCAGCCGCGGUAAUACGGAGGGUGCAAGCGUUAAUCGGAAUUACUGGGCGUAAAGCGUGCGUAGGCGGUUUAUUAAGUCAGAUGUGAAAGCCCCGGGCUUAACCUGGGAACUGCAUUUGAAACUGGUCAACUAGAGUAUGGUAGAGGAAAGUGGAAUUUCUGGUGUAGCGGUGAAAUGCGUAGAUAUCAGAAGGAACAUCAAUGGCGAAGGCAGCUUUCUGGACCAAUACUGACGCUGAGGUACGAAAGCGUGGGUAGCAAACAGGAUUAGAUACCCUGGUAG